Long non-coding RNA from Drosophila montana, 438 nucleotides. RefSeq lists it as uncharacterized. Lineage: Eukaryota; Metazoa; Arthropoda; Insecta; Diptera; Drosophilidae. The record is from RefSeq and is a predicted model, not a curated record. The transcript is spliced from 3 exons.
GUCCUCAUUAUUUAUUAAUGGCCAGCAGCUCAAUAUGUAUAUGAACAUAUGCAUAUGUUGAGGAAGGAGCUUUCAUUAUGAGAAAUUUGGCCAUGAAAACUUAUAUUCAAUAAGCAGUUAUUAAACCUGAAGAUAUAUAUUCUUGUGACAAAAGCACGAGCAUGUCGGUACAGUGAAAACCCUCUUGGGCGGACAGCAAAAGUUGGUUAACUCUUGUCCGUUCAAGAGAAGUGUACGCACAAGAGAGCGACAAUGGGCGUGGCCGGACUUAAGAAGGUUUCAGAGAAAAUGUCAGUCUAAUAGAAGUAGUAUAAGAAUCGCAUAAAUAAAACUGUCAACAGUUUUUGCUCCGCAUACGAAAUGAGCAAAGUUUUAUAUACAGCACGAAAAAAAAGUACGUCAACCAAGAGAAAGUUUUAAAAGAUAUGUACUUAUCAG